UUUUCCCCAGGUUCUCCGGUUUCCUCCCACGCUCCAAAGAUGCACAGCUCAGUCACAUCACCAGCAUGAAAUGAUUUCACUUCAGCUAAGAAUUAAACAAGUGGAUACAAUGGAGGCACAAGGAACAGCAGAUGCUGGAAUCUUGAGCAGAACACUGAUGGAAUAACUCAGCAGGUGUUUAAUAUUCGACCUUCUGACCUUGCCAGCCGCUGAAGAGACACGCUGCAGUCUGGUGCAGCUGCAGGCGCAGGUGACCGAAGAGUUUGAGACACAUCGCUGCACCCCGGAGCUCCACGUGGAUACAUGCAGAGGGGACGAGGCGGACUCUCGACUUCUUGCCAGGCAGCGCU
Amblyraja radiata (thorny skate) is the source of this 350-nucleotide long non-coding RNA. RefSeq lists it as uncharacterized. The record is from RefSeq and is a predicted model, not a curated record. The transcript has 3 exons. NCBI's taxonomy places the organism in Eukaryota, Metazoa, Chordata, Chondrichthyes, Rajiformes, Rajidae.